AAUCCAUAGGUUAAUGAGGCGAACCGGGGGAACUGAAACAUCUAAGUACCCCGAGGAAAAGAAAUCAACCGAGAUUCCCCCAGUAGCGGCGAGCGAACGGGGAGGAGCCCAGAGCCUGAAUCAGCAUGUGUGUUAGUGGAAGCGUCUGGAAAGGCGCGCGAUACAGGGUGACAGCCCCGUACACAAAAGCGCAUGUGCUGUGAGCUCGAUGAGUAGGGCGGGACACGUGGUAUCCUGUCUGAAUAUGGGGGGACCAUCCUCCAAGGCUAAAUACUCCUGACUGACCGAUAGUGAACCAGUACCGUGAGGGAAAGGCGAAAAGAACCCCGGCGAGGGGAGUGAAAAAGAACCUGAAACCGUGUACGUACAAGCAGUGGGAGCACCCUUUGGGGUGUGACUGCGUACCUUUUGUAUAAUGGGUCAGCGACUUAUAUUCUGUAGCAAGGUUAACCGUAUAGGGGAGCCGUAGGGAAACCGAGUCUUAACCGGGCGUUAAGUUGCAGGGUAUAGACCCGAAACCCGGUGAUCUAGCCAUGGGCAGGUUGAAGGUUGGGUAACACUAACUGGAGGACCGAACCGACUAAUGUUGAAAAAUUAGCGGAUGACCUGUGGCUGGGGGUGAAAGGCCAAUCAAACCGGGAGAUAGCUGGUUCUCCCCGAAAGCUAUUUAGGUAGCGCCUCGUGAAUUCAUCUCCGGGGGUAGAGCACUGUUUCGGCUAGGGGGCCAUCCCGGCUUACCAACCCGAUGCAAACUGCGAAUACCGGAGAAUGUUAUCACGGGAGACACACGGCGGGUGCUAACGUCCGUCGUGAAGAGGGAAACAACCCAGACCGCCAGCUAAGGUCCCAAAGUCAUGGUUAAGUGGGAAACGAUGUGGGAAGGCCCAGACAGCCAGGAUGUUGGCUUAGAAGCAGCCAUCAUUUAAAGAAAGCGUAAUAGCUCACUGGUCGAGUCGGCCUGCGCGGAAGAUGUAACGGGGCUAAACCAUGCACCGAAGCUGCGGCAGCGAACGUAUCACCCAAGACAACUUUACGGAGUUGACGAUUGACGGAGCGAAGCGACGUCAAAGCGUUCAUUAAAGUCGAGUUGGCUUAGGGAUACGUUCGUUGGGUAGGGGAGCGUUCUGUAAGCCUGUGAAGGUGUGUCGUGAGGCAUGCUGGAGGUAUCAGAAGUGCGAAUGCUGACAUAAGUAACGAUAAAGCGGGUGAAAAGCCCGCUCGCCGGAAGACCAAGGGUUCCUGUCCAACGUUAAUCGGGGCAGGGUGAGUCGACCCCUAAGGCGAGGCCGAAAGGCGUAGUCGAUGGGAAACGGGUUAAUAUUCCCGUACUUGGUGUUACUGCGAAGGGGGGACGGAGAAGGCUAUGUUGGCCGGGCGACGGUUGUCCCGGUUUAAGCGUGUAGGUGUGUGUUCCAGGUAAAUCCGGUUCACUUUAACACUGAGGCGUGACGACGAGGCACUACGGUGCUGAAGCAACAAAUGCCCUGCUUCCAGGAAAAGCCUCUAAGCAUCAGGUAACAUCAAAUCGUACCCCAAACCGACACAGGUGGUCAGGUAGAGAAUACCAAGGCGCUUGAGAGAACUCGGGUGAAGGAACUAGGCAAAAUGGUGCCGUAACUUCGGGAGAAGGCACGCUGACACGUAGGUGAAGUGAUUUACUCAUGGAGCUGAAGUCAGUCGAAGAUACCAGCUGGCUGCAACUGUUUAUUAAAAACACAGCACUGUGCAAACACGAAAGUGGACGUAUACGGUGUGACGCCUGCCCGGUGCCGGAAGGUUAAUUGAUGGGGUCAGCGCAAGCGAAGCUCCUGAUCGAAGCCCCGGUAAACGGCGGCCGUAACUAUAACGGUCCUAAGGUAGCGAAAUUCCUUGUCGGGUAAGUUCCGACCUGCACGAAUGGCGUAAUGAUGGCCAGGCUGUCUCCACCCGAGACUCAGUGAAAUUGAACUCGCUGUGAAGAUGCAGUGUACCCGCGGCAAGACGGAAAGACCCCGUGAACCUUUACUAUAGCUUGACACUGAACAUUGAGCCUUGAUGUGUAGGAUAGGUGGGAGGCUUUGAAGCGUGGACGCCAGUCUGCGUGGAGCCGACCUUGAAAUACCACCCUUUAAUGUUUGAUGUUCUAACGUGGACCCGUAAUCCGGGUUGCGGACAGUGUCUGGUGGGUAGUUUGACUGGGGCGGUCUCCUCCUAAAGAGUAACGGAGGAGCACGAAGGUUGGCUAAUCCUGGUCGGACAUCAGGAGGUUAGUGCAAUGGCAUAAGCCAGCUUGACUGCGAGCGUGACGGCGCGAGCAGGUGCGAAAGCAGGUCAUAGUGAUCCGGUGGUUCUGAAUGGAAGGGCCAUCGCUCAACGGAUAAAAGGUACUCCGGGGAUAACAGGCUGAUACCGCCCAAGAGUUCAUAUCGACGGCGGUGUUUGGCACCUCGAUGUCGGCUCAUCACAUCCUGGGGCUGAAGUAGGUCCCAAGGGUAUGGCUGUUCGCCAUUUAAAGUGGUACGCGAGCUGGGUUUAGAACGUCGUGAGACAGUUCGGUCCCUAUCUGCCGUGGGCGCUGGAGAACUGAGGGGGGCUGCUCCUAGUACGAGAGGACCGGAGUGGACGCAUCACUGGUGUUCGGGUUGUCAUGCCAAUGGCACUGCCCGGUAGCUAAAUGCGGAAGAGAUAAGUGCUGAAAGCAUCUAAGCACGAAACUUGCCCCGAG
This 2704-nucleotide ribosomal RNA is filed under the name Salmonella enterica subsp. enterica serovar Heidelberg. RNAcentral's name for it is "partial 23S ribosomal RNA". It matches the Rfam family "Bacterial large subunit ribosomal RNA". Lineage: Bacteria; Pseudomonadati; Pseudomonadota; Gammaproteobacteria; Enterobacterales; Enterobacteriaceae. The record is from RNAcentral.